RNAcentral lists this ribosomal RNA (273 nucleotides) under uncultured Staphylococcus sp. Its description in RNAcentral is "partial 16S ribosomal RNA". It matches the Rfam family "Bacterial small subunit ribosomal RNA", at positions 90 to 355 of the family's 1533-position model. The record is from RNAcentral. Lineage: Bacteria; Bacillati; Bacillota; Bacilli; Caryophanales; Staphylococcaceae.
CGUUAGCGGCGGACGGGUGAGUAACACGUGGGUAACCUACCUAUAAGGCUGGGACAACUUCGGGAAACCGGAGCUAAUACCGGAUAAGAUAUCGAACCGCAUGGUUCGAUAGUGAAAGAUGGUUUUGCUAUCACUUAUAGAUGGACCCGCGCCGUAUUAGCUAGUUGGUGAGGUAACGGCUCACCAAGGCAACGAUACGUAGCCGACCUGAGAGGGUGAUCGGCCACACUGGAACUGAGACACGGUCCAGACUCCGUACGGGAGGCAGCAGUU